RNAcentral lists this ribosomal RNA (253 nucleotides) under uncultured bacterium. RNAcentral's name for it is "partial 16S ribosomal RNA". It matches the Rfam family "Bacterial small subunit ribosomal RNA", at positions 524 to 776 of the family's 1533-position model. The record is from RNAcentral.
UACGUAGGGCGCAAGCGUUGUCCGGAAUUAUUGGGCGUAAAGAGCUCGUAGGCGGCUUGUCACGUCGGGUGUGAAAGCCCGGGGCUUAACCCCGGGUCUGCAUUCGAUACGGGCAGGCUAGAGUGUGGUAGGGGAGAUCGGAAUUCCUGGUGUAGCGGUGAAAUGCGCAGAUAUCAGGAGGAACACCGGUGGCGAAGGCGGAUCUCUGGGCCAUUACUGACGCUGAGGCACGAAAGCCAGGGGAGCAAACGGG